CAGUCGCCGCGGUAAUACGGAGGGUGCAAGCGUUAAUCGGAAUUACUGGGCGUAAAGCGCGCGUAGGUGGUUUGUUAAGUUGGAUGUGAAAGCCCCGGGCUCAACCUGGGAACUGCAUCCAAAACUGGCAAGCUAGAGUACGGUAGAGGGUGGUGGAAUUUCCUGUGUAGCGGUGAAAUGCGUAGAUAUAGGAAGGAACACCAGUGGCGAAGGCGACCACCUGGACUGAUACUGACACUGAGGUGCGAAAGCGUGGGGAGCAAACAGGAUUAGAUACCCCGGUAGUCCCUGUCUCUUAUAA
RNAcentral lists this ribosomal RNA (301 nucleotides) under uncultured bacterium. Its description in RNAcentral is "partial 16S ribosomal RNA". It matches the Rfam family "Bacterial small subunit ribosomal RNA", at positions 509 to 809 of the family's 1533-position model. The record is from RNAcentral.